RNAcentral lists this ribosomal RNA (200 nucleotides) under uncultured bacterium. RNAcentral describes it as "partial 16S ribosomal RNA". It matches the Rfam family "Bacterial small subunit ribosomal RNA", at positions 8 to 218 of the family's 1533-position model. The record is from RNAcentral.
AGAGUUUGAUCCUGGCUCAGGACGAACGCUGGCGGCGUGCUUAACACAUGCAAGUGGAGCGACGAACCAGGGCUUGCCCUGGGGCAGAGCCGCGAACGGGUGAGUAACACGUGGGUUACCUGCCUCGAUGACUGGGACAACCCGAGGAAACUCGGGCUAAUACUGGAUGUGCCCGCAAGGGGAAAGGAAGCUUCGGCCUC